CACAACACUGAGAUGAAGGCGAAGUCACCAUGAAAAGUUAAACGUUUACCGUUAAGCUACAAUAAUUGAUGUUGAAAAACUGAUGCUACCAAUCACUCCUCACUUUAUUAUUCAAGUUCCUAAGAUAAAAAAAAUCUGGUGUUAAAACAGCCACGGCUAUGCUAUUUGCCUACCAAGUGCUGAGUAAAUAUUAGACAAACAUUUUUUUCUAUAACUGUUGUCUUUGUGUUUAUUAGCAAUUUUACUGGGCGUAUGUGUUUUUUUUUUUUCAAACAGCCUGGAAACUGUAAGUUUAGUUCAAUAUGUUAUUUUAUGCUAUUCAUUUUUGUCUUAACAUGGAUUGCAUGUUGAAGCUAUCGUUUUAUAGUGGGAAAAUGUAAAAGAGAAUCACUGAAUACAAUGGCAUAAUGAUUCUGCUUGUUCAAAGAAGGUACUUGAUUUAGUUUUCCUCAAGCGACACAUCAGUUUUUAUGACUAUUGCUUGACACUUGAAUUGAAGGGACAGUUCACCCCAAAAUGAAAAUAAUAGCAUCUUUGGCAUCCUCCACUUGUUUCAAAAUAGUUAUAUAUUUAAUUUGUUCCGUUGAACACAAACUCGUAUUUUUUAAAGAAAUUUGGUUCAAAUAUGGAUGUCAAUAGUUACUGGUUACUAACAUUCUUCAAAAUAUCUGCUUUAGUGUUUAACAGAAAUUCAAACUAGUUUAAAACACAUGGAGUAAAUAGUGGCAA
Danio rerio (zebrafish) is the source of this 729-nucleotide non-coding RNA. The record is from Ensembl. NCBI's taxonomy places the organism in Eukaryota, Metazoa, Chordata, Actinopteri, Cypriniformes, Danionidae.